GACCUAUUUAACCGACGCACAAUCAGCUCAUUUCCCUCUCUGAUCGUCACCUCAUGCACGUCACGGCUGCUUUGCACGGAAUUCCGAAAGAAAUCUGUAAGUUUGUUUAACCUAAUUGCUCUAGUCACUUUACAUGCCGUCUUUUAACUGAAACAAAUGCAUUUUUUGAAUACAAGAAAGGAUCAAAUCAGAACGGGUCUGCAUCUCCGGCCAGUAGCGACAUGGCGAAAGCUCCAGGUGAAUGUUGAUGGAUUAAAUUCCCAUACUAUCUGGAUGUGUACAGGGCUUUAAAAGGACCUGUUUGGUAAAGGGGUGUCAAAACUCGGUCCUGACGCGUCUCUUAGCUGUCUUAGAGCUGGGACACAUAGGAAACGUGAUGGCCUGUGUUUGGACAACCCAUGUAUUAUUGUAUUUGUCAAACCUUUGACAGGAUGCAUUACGUUUAAUUACAUUAACACAGGUUUGUCCCUUGACACUAAUUGUCUUAAGAGACACGUUUUCAUAUCAAUUAUAAACAGUACAAAUACAUGACAUAGCCUAAAAUGUCUGUCUGUUAAAAAAGGAAUUUCACUGAGACAUUUUUAUUUACAUUAUACUGCAUUAGUUCCUUUUAAUAAAUCCAUGAUGUCCACUGGUGGAGCUUUGGGACAUGUUAAUGAGCUUUGUGGUAUGAUUUUUAAUUUUUUUUUCACACUGAAUCCAUCUGAUGAUCCUGGAAGUCUGAGCUACAUUCCCACCAUAUUGAGCUUUACAUCGCAAGCAAAACGGACCAGAGGCCUACGUGUUGCAGAUGGAUAUGAACGGCUUCUAAAACGUCCAACACUGGCACCUGUUGAGCCCAUAAAUGAAGAUGUGCAGCUUGCAGCAGAAGCACUACUGGACCAUCAUAAUGCACCGCUAUUUUGCGACAGAGGAACUGGUCCAGUACACAGAACUGCAAGAUGAACACAGGUCUUCAGGUUGAAUACCAGCGUCUACUUUCAGGAAACCAGGAACUACGAGAGAAUGUUCAAAAGGGACGAUUCACCUCCACAACCUUAAACAAUCAACAAAUAAAUUCAUGUGCUGGGUUUUAAUGCUCA
Molecule: long non-coding RNA, 1082 nt
Filed under: Gouania willdenowi (blunt-snouted clingfish)
Lineage: Eukaryota; Metazoa; Chordata; Actinopteri; Blenniiformes; Gobiesocidae
Description: lncRNA (ENSGWIG00000001216.1)
Source: RNAcentral